RNAcentral lists this transfer RNA (65 nucleotides) under Dolophilodes bellatulus. RNAcentral's name for it is "tRNA-His". Lineage: Eukaryota; Metazoa; Arthropoda; Insecta; Trichoptera; Philopotamidae. The record is from RNAcentral.
AUUUAAUUAGUUUAAUUAAAAUUUUGAAUUGUGGGUUCAAGGAUAUAUAGAUAAUAUAUUAAAUU